GAAGGAAAAAUUACUGAACAAAACAUCAAACUAUAUUGCUAUAAAAUACUACAUCAACACAACUUGAAAGAAUAGCCUAUAAACAAAAUAAGGAAAAAUUUCCUAUAGAAAUGUCAGUGGCUGAAAUACAUAUGACUACUAUAACAGCACCAUAAUGUUUCUCUCAAUGAACAACAACAACAUGAACUAAUUAUUCUUAUACGUGACACAUCAGCUAGUAACUUAGUUUAGUAAUGUUUUUGUCCCUUCGACCUUUUGUCCAUUCGACCUUUUGUCCUUCGACCUUCUGUCCUAAAGCCAUCAAAAUAUGCUUUUAUUGAGCUAUUUCACUCUGCUCGGGUUUACACUAAGUGUAAGUCUUCUCUCGGUUGGUAGUGAAUGUUCUGUUCUAGUCGCUCCAUCACGAAUGGUGGUUUGUUAUCUGCUAUUUGAUGUAUGGAAAAGCAGUUUUUUUUAUGUGAUUCACUCGCAAUUAAUAUAUGCAUUAUCAAAUAUUGCUGCUUGACAUAGACCUUAGAAAACGAAAAUAAAGGGCAUUUAAGAACCUCAAAAACCCGUCACCAGCACAGUAGUGUAGAUAGCCAUAGUUAUAAUAAAGCAACCAUAGUGAACUGACCCACAUGCAAUAAAGUGUCUUCUCGUGCAAAUAAAUUCGGGUUUACGAUCAGUAAUCGCGUCGUUGUUUGUGGUUUGUCUACCGAAAUUUACGCCCGUGAUUUUGACCCCGUACAGAACAUUUUGAUGCCGUGACCAGGAUCACGGGUAUGUGAAUAUCACUUUCUGGAUCGUGUACUUCGACGCUAACACCUAACCCCAUCACCGGUCGAAAGUAUUUCCCAAAGGAUUGCAGUACCGUACAUAAUACAAGGCCUGUUUUUGGACAGGUACAUGUGAGUAUUUGUCCAUUAUUUCCCAUCCCCAUUGCACGAUGCUUCCUUGGUGUUUUUUUUAUGAUCGAUUUCAGUCCAUUUCUGGUGUGAUUGCUGCUGGGAGACACGAGGUUGUUGCUGCUGCUGCAGUGAUAUGAUAAAUAGUACCACCGCCGGUGCUAAAGUGAAUUCAAUUAUCCAAUCAUUGGUCUGCUGAGCCGUUUUGUAUGCAGCGGAUAGUCCACGUCCGUGGAUCAACAUCGUGUUCGAGGUUCCUGCUAUUAAUAUAACACAAGGCCUGUCUUUGGACAGGCGCAGGUGAGUGUCUGUCCAAGUGUUUUAUACCUCCCCCUUCGGUACUUCCUGGGUCCUCCCGAUCAUUACAGCUCCCAUUUGGAAGUCGUCCAGCGCACACAAUGUCGGAGAAGAAGAGGAAGCAGAAGGAGCUCAAGCGUCGGAACAUCAUGGACUCGAUCGCCCGCAUCGAUGAGUUCCUGACCAACUUCAAUCCCGAACGAGACACCAAGGAGGUAGAGAUACGAUUGGCUAGAUUGGACAAGCUGAUGGAGAACUUCGAGGACAUUGAAGGUGAAUAGGAUACUGUUUGUGGAGAAAUUUAUUCACAAAUACUUCAGAAAUACAUGCACGAGCUUCUGUAGCAAUCCUUAAAGAAAUAUCCCAAAUAAUGAAAUUUGUGAG
Molecule: long non-coding RNA, 1568 nt
Organism: Aedes albopictus (Asian tiger mosquito)
Lineage: Eukaryota; Metazoa; Arthropoda; Insecta; Diptera; Culicidae
Exons: 2
Source: RefSeq, a predicted model, not a curated record